Aegilops tauschii subsp. strangulata is the source of this 710-nucleotide long non-coding RNA. RefSeq lists it as uncharacterized. The record is from RefSeq and is a predicted model, not a curated record. Lineage: Eukaryota; Viridiplantae; Streptophyta; Magnoliopsida; Poales; Poaceae.
CGUGGGACAGCUACACGGGCGGGGGAGGUGGGCUGGCGUGGGGCCCUCUGACGCAGCAGCGGGUGAGCGGAUCUGCGACUAAUGGCGGCCCGGUGGUCAGCUGCUGCUUGGCCGUGGUGCGGCGGCCACGAGGUGGUGUGCUCAGACGGAUGUCGACCGCCAUAAUCGAGUUUGCUCAGCCCGACGAGAACAUUCCCUUUGGACGGAUGAGAAUCACAAGGCACCUGAGGAUCGCCCUGCCCACUUUCACCGAGUCGGGUCACUACACCCUCCUUGUCCAUGCUAUUUUCGUCAUCACUUCACUUAGGGAACCAGGAAGCAAAGUUGAAGUAUAAGCAGCUUAUGCAAACAGCAUACAUGCAAUGCUAUGGAAAUAUCAACGUCUCAAACUUUAUCCUCCUCUACUAAAGAGGCUUCCUAGGAGACCAAGAAAGAAUAUAAUCCAGGUUUGAAUGAAAUAGGUGCUAGGUUGGGCCUACAAAGAGGAAAUGCAAAUGCUGUGGACAGCUUGGCCAGAUACAGAAGAAUUGUAAAGAGUAAGUUGACCAAGAAUUUUCAGAAGAUGAACAGACUGGUCCCUCGAUUAGUGCAAGCAAUGUAUGGCACUCUUCCUCCCAAAUGCCUUUUUCUUUAGAUUUUGUAAAAGUAUUGUUCUCAUGUAAAACUAAUGCAUUUAUUUAGCUUCAGUAAAAUUAGUUAAUUCUAUAAAA